AUGCCUACUACACAUGUUGCUGAGUGCUCCUUGGAGCCAGUUUCUGCCUCAUUAAGAUUACGAACAAGUAUGCAAACCAGUGGGACUGGGACGGUGGCUGGACUGGCGGGGAUGCUGUGCCUGCCAUCAUCGAUUUUCUCCAGCUCCAUCCAGCCCACAAUCUGUGGCUCCUUCGCUGUAACAGGGUGCAGUGAGGGGUCGUGCCCAGGGCAGUUUGUUUCCUCCCCUCAAAUCCUCGAUUUCCUUUUUAGAAGUAGCUGGCUCCCACCUGACUCACAGAAGACAGCGCCUCAGAGAAAUUCGCUCUUAGGCUCAACUUCAUCACGCUCAUUUUCACGGGGGUCUCUGCCUCACGAGACAGAGGAGGCUCCCUUUUCACCUGGGUCCACACCUGAUUGUAAAGCCUUUCUUUCUGAUCACUUGCUUGUAGCUGUAUUUAAAGCCAACCUGAAAAACGUGGGAGUUUUUUGGAUUUUUUUUUUUUUUUUUGAAGGUUCUGCCUCUUGUGGCCUGAAAAAAAUCUUCUGUUCCUGCUCACGUGAAUUUUCUUUCCACUCUGGGAGCCGCAAAGCAGAAUUAUAUUCCUUAGUCAAACAGAAGAAUAGAGGAUUCAUUAUGUUGGUUCUUCAAAACAGGAAGCUGGGAAUAGCUCAAAAGAUGGGCUUGUCCUGAAUUCCAGGGAUCUUACUGAUGUCAGGCUUGGUCUGCGUUUGACGCUGUCACCCUCGGAUGGACAAGGUUAGAUCUUCUAUCUUCAGCUGAAACGCUGUGGUACAGGACAGUUCCGGGAGGUUCCUGCAAUAGCUGCCCAGGCCAGCAUCGCAGGUGUGCAAACGCAGGAAGAACGCUCUCUCCAGCCAUGCCAGCCCCCGGCACAACUGCCGUGGCGUGGGCCUGGAGUGUCAGGCGUGGAUUUUCUGCUGCACUGUGGACUGUUCUUGGCCGAGACGUCCUUUGGGCUCUCUAGGUGCAGGACAUUUUCCUAGUGGCAUCCGUGUUGUUCUCCAGCCCUCUGGCCCAUGGGUCCCUCCCCCAGCGAUGCUCUGUCUUACCUGCCACAGGAUUCACUCCUUUGUUCAUUUAUCCCUUCCAUAGCUGAGUGACGAAGAGUGACGGAGGUCCCUGCUCUCACGGACUUGAUAUUCCCGUAAAAGGCAGCAAUUAAUGAAUAAAGCAAACAAAUUACCCCACCAAGUGCAUUUGAGGCAGCUGAUUUGGAAAGUGAUCACUGGGAAGCUCCGCUCACCAGGGGCUUCAGGGUGGGCCCAGGAGCACAGAGAAGGGCAGCCCUGUCUCAGUGCCAGCGCGUCCCUCCCCGCAGCCCUUGUCCCCAGGGCUGACUCGCCGUUCUUCCCAGGCCUUUCCCUCCUGUCCUGGCCAGGUGUUCACAGGCCCCGCCCACAGCCUGGGAAGAGGGCAGCAGUGCGUGGGAACCACAGGACAACGUGCUUGCAGACACCAUCUACACCGCACGGAGCCCAGCCGGGGAGCCCAGCCCCGAUGUUGUGAUCCUUAAGAGAUGCAGCCCGCGUUCAUUGAUUUGAUAUCUGCCCACGGUGUGUCAGACACAGGAGUGUGCACGUGGCUUUCACUAGCAGUGCACUAGUGAAGCAUAACAGGAAAAAUACAACGCCCCAAGACAGCCAGGUAUGCCUGCUACUGUGGAAAUGGCCCCGGGACUGACGAAAGCUAACAGAUGGGGCCUGGAGACAGAAAUUCACAGCAGAGGGCGCAUGCUACAGUCUCGUCCCUCAUUAUGCUUUAGUUAGGGGUUUGUCUUAGUUUUUCUGUUGCGUAACGGGAUACAUGAAACUGAGUGAUUUAUAAAGAACAGAGUUCCAUUUAGCCCACAGUUCCAGAUGCUCAAAGUACAAGAGUGUGGCGCUGGCAUCACACUUGGGUAUCUGCCCAAAGCCACAUUCCGCACAAACAAACAAGGCCAGUAGGGUGUUUGCCUAACCUCUGCCAGGCCCCAGGUUCAACCCCCAGCACCACCAAAAAAGAAAAAAGGCCUCAACAAUAUAAAGGGAAGUAAAUGCAAUGCAAUAUGAGGAACCAAAGGACAGCAACUCAUAUAUUCCAAAGAACUAAGACAUUUGACAAAUCAUCGAGGGAAACCUCUUCCCGAGGGACGAGGAAAAGGAGGGCCAGGUUGUGCCUUGAUCUUUGGAAAGGGGCUGUGCUCCGGGGUCCUGAUCUUCAAAAUGAGGCUGGAAUUAACACCCACCUCCCAGAGCUGCCGUGGAAAUAAAUGCAGGAUAAUCUCUGCCCAGAGCUGAACCAGCGCCUAGUAUAAAAUGAGCACUCAGUUACAGUCUGCUGUGAUUACAACGGCCUUAUCAUCACCGCGGCCAGCACGCCGAGGCAAGUGUGGGCCAGACCCAGAGUGUCCUUGGUUCUGAUCACGCUUUGGGUAUCAGACAGCUUCUCCUUGCACGAGUGACUCGAGAGCAGGGG
Fukomys damarensis (Damara mole-rat) is the source of this 2457-nucleotide long non-coding RNA. NCBI's taxonomy places the organism in Eukaryota, Metazoa, Chordata, Mammalia, Rodentia, Bathyergidae. The record is from Ensembl.